GCCCGGGUAAAAAAGAUAUCCCGGGAACUGGGGGUAAUGCUCUAUAGUCCGGGAGGACUGGAAUGUUCUCCGGAUGAAAGAUCCGUCGCUUCAGGAUGAGUCUGCGGCCGAUUAGGUAGUUGUUGGGGUAAAAGCCCAACAAGCCUGUAAUCGGUACGGGUUGUGGGAGCAAGAGCCCGGAGAUGGAUUCUGAGACACGAAUCCAGGCCCUACGGGGCGCAGCAGGCGCGAAAACUUUACAAUGCGGGCAACCGUGAUAAGGAAACCCCGAGUGCCAGCACAGGCUGGCUGUCCACCAGUGUAAAAAACUGGUGAAGAAAGGGCCGGGCAAGACCGGUGCCAGCCGCCGCGGUAAUACCGGCGGCUCGAGUGGUGGCCGCUUUUACUGGGCUUAAAGGGUCCGUAGCUUGAUCCAUGGGUCCCUUGAGAAAUCCAUCAGCUUAACUGCUGGGCGUUCAGGGGAAACUGUGGUUCUAGGGACCGGGAGAGGUAAGAGGUACUGCCGGGGUAGGAGUGAAAUCCUGUAAUCCCGGUGGGACGACCUAUAGCGAAGGCAUCUUACCAGAACGGCUCCGACAGUGAGGGACGAAAGCUGGGGGAGCAAACCGGAUUAGAUACCCGGGUAGUCCCAGCUGUAAACGAUGCGCGUUAGGUGUGUCAGUGACCACGUGUCACUGAUGUGCCGAAGGGAAACCGUGAAACGCGCCGCCUGGGGGAGUACGGUCGCAAGGCUGAAACUUAAAGGAAUUGGCGGGGGAGCAC
This 762-nucleotide ribosomal RNA is filed under the name uncultured archaeon. RNAcentral describes it as "bacterial SSU rRNA". It matches the Rfam family "Archaeal small subunit ribosomal RNA", at positions 111 to 879 of the family's 1478-position model. The record is from RNAcentral.